UAGGGAAUCUUCCGCAAUGGACGAAAGUCUGACGGAGCGACGCCGCGUGAGCGAAGAAGGUCUUCGGAUCGUAAAGCUCUGUUGUUAGGGAAGAAGAAGUGCCGUUCGAACAGGGCGGCACGGUGACGGUACCUAACGAGAAAGCCCCGGCUAACUACGUGCCAGCAGCCGCGGUAAUACGUAGGGGGCGAGCGUUGUCCGGAAUUAUUGGGCGUAAAGCGCGCGCAGGCGGUCCCUUAAGUCUGAUGUGAAAGCCCACGGCUUAACCGUGGAGGGUCAUUGGAAACUGGGGGACUUGAGUGCAGAAGAGGAGAGCGGAAUUCCACGUGUAGCGGUGAAAUGCGUAGAGAUGUGGAGGAACACCAGUGGCGAAGGCGGCUCUCUGGCCUGUAACUGACGCUGAGGCGCGAAAGCGUGGGGAGCGAACAGG
Molecule: ribosomal RNA, 430 nt
Filed under: Bacillota bacterium
Lineage: Bacteria; Bacillati; Bacillota
Description: Firmicutes bacterium partial 16S ribosomal RNA
Rfam family: Bacterial small subunit ribosomal RNA
Source: RNAcentral